Molecule: ribosomal RNA, 408 nt
Filed under: uncultured bacterium
Lineage: Bacteria
Description: partial 16S ribosomal RNA
Rfam family: Bacterial small subunit ribosomal RNA
Source: RNAcentral
GACGAACGCUGGCGGCGUGCUUAACACAUGCAAGUCGAACGAAGUGGCGAACGGGUGAGUAACGCGUAAUCAACCUGCCCUUCAGAGGGGGUCAACAGUUGGAAACGACUGCUAAUACCGCAUACUGAAGGAGGGGUUUGCGUCUGAUUAGCUAGUUGGGGGGGUAACGGCCCACCAAGGCGAUGAUCAGUAGGCGGGCUGAGAGGAUGAACGGCCACAUUGGGACUGAGGCACGGGCCAGACUCCUACGGGGAGGAGCAGGGGGGAAUCAUCCGCAAUGGAGGAAAGUCUGAAGGAGCAACGCCGCGUGAGUGGUGACGGCCUUCGGGUUGUAAAGCUCUGUUAAGCGGGAAGCGGUACCGGAAUAGAAAGCCACGGCUAACUACGUGCCAGCAGCCGCGGUAAUUC